UUUUGGUGAGGUGCCUUCCGAGUUCCCUGGAACGGGACGCCACAGAGGGUGAGAGCCCCGUCUGGUUGGACACCGAGCCUCUGUAAAGCUCCUUCGACGAGUCGAGUAGUUUGGGAAUGCUGCUCUAAAUGGGAGGUAUAUGUCUUCUAAAGCUAAAUACCGGCCAGAGACCGAUAGCGCACAAGUAGAGUGAUCGAAAGAUGAAAAGAACUUUGAAAAGAGAGUUAAACAGUACGUGAAAUUGUUGAAAGGGAAGCGCUUGUGACCAGACUUGGGCUUGGUUGAUCAUCCGGGGUUCUCCCCGGUGCACUCUUCCGGCUCAGGCCAGCAUCAGUUCGCCCUGGGGGAUAAAGGCAGCGGGAAUGUGGCUCUCUCCGGGGAGUGUUAUAGCCCGCUGCGUAAUACCCUGUGGCGG
RNAcentral lists this ribosomal RNA (415 nucleotides) under Fusarium solani-melongenae. RNAcentral's name for it is "partial large subunit ribosomal RNA". It matches the Rfam family "Eukaryotic large subunit ribosomal RNA", at positions 163 to 586 of the family's 3401-position model. Lineage: Eukaryota; Fungi; Ascomycota; Sordariomycetes; Hypocreales; Nectriaceae. The record is from RNAcentral.